This 579-nucleotide ribosomal RNA is filed under the name Polaromonas sp. 16-63-31. RNAcentral's name for it is "bacterial SSU rRNA". It matches the Rfam family "Bacterial small subunit ribosomal RNA", at positions 1 to 580 of the family's 1533-position model. The record is from RNAcentral. Lineage: Bacteria; Pseudomonadati; Pseudomonadota; Betaproteobacteria; Burkholderiales; Comamonadaceae.
AACUAAAGAGUUUGAUCCUGGCUCAGAUUGAACGCUGGCGGCAUGCCUUACACAUGCAAGUCGAACGGUAGAGUAGCAAUACUCGAGAGUGGCGAACGGGUGAGUAAUAUAUCGGAACGUGCCCAGUCGUGGGGGAUAACGUAGAGAAAUUUACGCUAAUACCGCAUACGAUCUAAGGAUGAAAGCGGGGGAUUCGCAAGAACCUCGCGCGAUUGGAGCGGCUGAUAUCAGAUUAGGUUGUUGGUGAGGUAAAAGCUCACCAAGCCGACGAUCUGUAGCUGGUUUGAGAGAACGACCAGCCACACUGGGACUGAGACACGGCCCAGACUCCUACGGGAGGCAGCAGUGGGGAAUUUUGGACAAUGGGCGAAAGCCUGAUCCAGCAAUGCCGCGUGCAGGAAGAAGGCCUUCGGGUUGUAAACUGCUUUUGUACGGAACGAAAAGGCUCUUUCUAAUAAAGAGGGCCCAUGACGGUACCGUAAGAAUAAGCACCGGCUAACUACGUGCCAGCAGCCGCGGUAAUACGUAGGGUGCGAGCGUUAAUCGGAAUUACUGGGCGUAAAGCGUGCGCAGGCGGUU